GACGAACGCUGGCGGCGUGCUUAACACAUGCAAGUCGAACGGUAAGGCCCUUCGGGGUACACGAGUGGCGAACGGGUGAGUAACACGUGGGUGAUCUGCCCUGCACUUCGGGAUAAGCCUGGGAAACUGGGUCUAAUACCGGAUAGGACUCCGGACUGCAUGGUCUGGGGUGGAAAGCUUUUGCGGUGUGGGAUGGGCCCGCGGCCUAGUAGCUUGUUGGUGGGGUGAUGGCCUACCAAGGCGACGACGGGUAGCCGGCCUGAGAGGGUGACCGGCAACACUGGGACUGAGAUACGGCCCAGACUCCUACGGGAGGCAGCAGUGGGGGAUAUUGCACAAUGGGCGCAAGCCUGAUGCAGCGACGCCGCGUGAGGGAUGACGGCCUUCGGGUUGUAAACCUCUUUCAGCACCGACGAAGCGCAAGUGACGGUAGGUGCAGAAGAAGGACCGGCCAACUACGUGCCAGCCGCCGCGGUAA
This 478-nucleotide ribosomal RNA is filed under the name uncultured bacterium. Its description in RNAcentral is "partial 16S ribosomal RNA". It matches the Rfam family "Bacterial small subunit ribosomal RNA", at positions 28 to 523 of the family's 1533-position model. The record is from RNAcentral.